AUCCUCCUCCCUUUCCUCGGGCCGUCUAGGGUACGCCCCCGCAAGCUUAGCGCAUUGAAUGAAGGCUAAGCUGCGAGCGUCGUUCUCUGAAUGGCUGAGGAGACGAGAGAGAGAU
Molecule: microRNA precursor, 115 nt
Filed under: Pristionchus pacificus
Lineage: Eukaryota; Metazoa; Nematoda; Chromadorea; Rhabditida; Neodiplogasteridae
Description: microRNA ppc-mir-2267 precursor
Source: miRBase by way of RNAcentral